UGCCUGGAUGGUUGGUUGUGUUGAAC
This 26-nucleotide non-coding RNA is filed under the name Homo sapiens (human). The record is from RNAcentral. Lineage: Eukaryota; Metazoa; Chordata; Mammalia; Primates; Hominidae.